GACGAACGCUGGCGGCGUGCCUAAUACAUGCAAGUUGAGCGCUGAAGGUUGGUACUUGUACCAACUGGAUGAGCAGCGAACGGGUGAGUAACGCGUGGGGAAUCUGCCUUUGAGCGGGGGACAACAUUUGGAAACGAAUGCUAAUACCGCAUAAAAACUUUAAACACAAGUUUUAAGUUUGAAAGAUGCAAUUGCAUCACUCAAAGAUGAUCCCGCGUUGUAUUAGGUAGUUGGUGAGGUAAAGGCUCACCAAGGCGAUGAUACAUAGCCGACCUGAGAGGGUGGUCGGCCAAAUUGGGACUGAGACACGGCCCAAACUGCUACGGGAGGCAGCAGUAGGGAAUCUUCGGCAAUGGACGAAAGUCUGACCGAGAAACGCCGCGUGAGUGAAGAAGGUUUUCGGAUCGUAAAACUCUGUUGGUAGAGAAGAACGUUGGUGAGAGUGGAAAGCUCAUCAAGUGACGGUAACUACACAGAAAGGGACGGCUAACUACGUG
Molecule: ribosomal RNA, 497 nt
Filed under: uncultured bacterium
Lineage: Bacteria
Description: partial 16S ribosomal RNA
Rfam family: Bacterial small subunit ribosomal RNA
Source: RNAcentral